UACGUAGGGAGCAAGCGUUGUCCGGAAUCAUUGGGCGUAAAGCGCGCGUAGGUGGCCUCGUAAGUCCGCUGUGAAAGUCCAAGGCUCAACCUUGGAAAGCCGGUGGAUACUGUGAGGCUAGAGUACGGAAGAGGCGAGUGGAAUUCCUGGUGUAGCGGUGGAAUGCGCAGAUAUCAGGAGGAACACCAAUAGCGAAGGCAGCUCGCUGGGACGUUACUGACACUGAGGCGCGAAAGCGUGGGGAGCGAACGGG
RNAcentral lists this ribosomal RNA (253 nucleotides) under uncultured bacterium. Its description in RNAcentral is "partial 16S ribosomal RNA". It matches the Rfam family "Bacterial small subunit ribosomal RNA", at positions 524 to 776 of the family's 1533-position model. The record is from RNAcentral.